This 477-nucleotide ribosomal RNA is filed under the name Escherichia coli. RNAcentral describes it as "bacterial SSU rRNA". It matches the Rfam family "Bacterial small subunit ribosomal RNA", at positions 1068 to 1533 of the family's 1533-position model. The record is from RNAcentral. RNAcentral also lists the same sequence under 1 other name. Lineage: Bacteria; Pseudomonadati; Pseudomonadota; Gammaproteobacteria; Enterobacterales; Enterobacteriaceae.
UGAAAUGUUGGGUUAAGUCCCGCAACGAGCGCAACCCUUAUCCUUUGUUGCCAGCGGUCCGGCCGGGAACUCAAAGGAGACUGCCAGUGAUAAACUGGAGGAAGGUGGGGAUGACGUCAAGUCAUCAUGGCCCUUACGACCAGGGCUACACACGUGCUACAAUGGCGCAUACAAAGAGAAGCGACCUCGCGAGAGCAAGCGGACCUCAUAAAGUGCGUCGUAGUCCGGAUUGGAGUCUGCAACUCGACUCCAUGAAGUCGGAAUCGCUAGUAAUCGUGGAUCAGAAUGCCACGGUGAAUACGUUCCCGGGCCUUGUACACACCGCCCGUCACACCAUGGGAGUGGGUUGCAAAAGAAGUAGGUAGCUUAACCUUCGGGAGGGCGCUUACCACUUUGUGAUUCAUGACUGGGGUGAAGUCGUAACAAGGUAACCGUAGGGGAACCUGCGGUUGGAUCACCUCCUUACCUUAAAGAAGC